GUUGCCGGCCAUACUGCGUCGAAAAUACCGGAUCCCAUCUGAACUCCGAAGUCAAGCGGCGCUAGGCCGGGAUAGUACUGGGGGUGGGGGACCGCCCGGGAACACCUUUCGGUGCCGGCAACC
This 123-nucleotide ribosomal RNA is filed under the name Babesia divergens. The record is from RNAcentral. Lineage: Eukaryota; Apicomplexa; Aconoidasida; Piroplasmida; Babesiidae.